This is a long non-coding RNA of Amaranthus tricolor (Joseph's coat), 4580 nucleotides long. RefSeq lists it as uncharacterized. Lineage: Eukaryota; Viridiplantae; Streptophyta; Magnoliopsida; Caryophyllales; Amaranthaceae. The transcript is spliced from 3 exons. The record is from RefSeq and is a predicted model, not a curated record.
UCAUUUAUUUGACUAAUAUACCGCCCAAUUUCGAAAUUCACUCAUAUAUGUUGGGUACAAUUGUUUUUUUUUUUUUUUUGCAUGGUUUGGUUCAAUUAAAAAUCUUGCUUUAAUCUUUCUAAGUCUCAAUCCUUUCUUCUUUUCCUUGACAAAUUAAUGUUUGAGUCAUUUAGCAUUGUUGUUUUGAUUCAAAUCAUUUUCUAUGGAAAAAAACAAAGAAAUUAUCAAAGAGAAGAAAGGUUGAUUUCAAAUGCAUAGUUACGCAAGGGUAAAUUUCUUUCUACAAAAUACUUACAUUAAAUUGACUACAGUUCUUACGGUUUAUGAUUGAAUCUUAUGUGGUUGAACUUAAUUUCUUUUAUAUUGUGUGUUUUUUCAUUAUGACUCUUUGUUAAUAUAAUUUCUUCUCUUUUGUGCUUGAAAAUAUUUAAUUGUGGAAAUUUUGCACAAUACUAUUACAAGAUAAUGGAGCCAGUCAACAUACGAUUGUAUGUUUUAUCACUAAAAACUACAAAACUGAAAACAAACAAUUAGGCCUUAGCUUGCACCCAAAUGUAGAAGAGGCUUGUUAUUUUGAAACAGCCAACUGGAUUAGAAACGAGUUAGGCUAUGAUGAUGUAGGUAGAAUUUGGCACAAGCGAUAUGGUAAUACAUUGUUUGUAGGUAGGACAUAAAUCAAGGAUGAUAAGAGCAUCCCAAAUUUCCCUGAAAGCCUUGAAAAUGAUGGUUGGUACCAUAUUUAUGUUGUUCAUGGGGGUGAUGAUAGAGGUGAAGAAAUAUUCAUGAAAAAAUCUAAAAAGAAAUUUACUAGUGAUGAUGUGGUAAAUAAUAUAGAGAUGAUGAUUUGUGCAGAUUGGUUGAUGACAUGGACAUGAAUAAGGGUGAUGUGGGAGAUAAGGUUGGUGGUGAUAUGGAGAGUGCAAGUGGUCAUGUAAAAAGAUGACCGCCACUAAAGGAGAAGGGUGUAAAUGUUCCCUUAUACCUAAACCCUAGAUCUAAAAGACACUCUAGGGUAGUCCUAACAACCCAGAAAACUACUCAAACCCUUAUUCAAUGUUCUAACCCACCUUAGUUUUACAUUAAAUUAGAAGUAUGUUAAUUUACUUACCUGAUAAUUCAAUUGAUUUGAUUAAAUGCUUUUUCUUGUGCAAUUGAGCUUUCAAGAGGUUUUUAUUUUGUUGGUGAAGAUGAGGAGGAAACAUUAGAGGGAGAAUAAGAGUUCAAUUAGGAAAGAAAUUGCAAUUGAAGAUGGGUGAGGAAAUAGAGAAAAUUAAGUAUCCAUGUGCAAUUCAUGUGCCCAGUCAACCAUAUAAUUGACAGUCAACUGAAGACAAAACGUUAGUUGGUUGUAUUUCGAAAAAAAAAUUGUUAGUUAUAUAUUGGCAAAACAUUUAAUAUUAAGUACCUUUUGAAAAAAAAUAUUAGGUACUUUUUUGUAAUAUUUUUAUUUUAAAAUUAUUUUUAUAUCUUUUUACACGAUCUAUACUUGGCAUGCUUUUCAAGCUAGUUCAAUAUAAUAACUAUUAUAGAGAACAUACCAUCCUAUAUCACAAAACAAAUUUAGGUAUUGUGUAUGUGCUAUCAAAAUUACACAUCCUUACCCGUUCUCACACAUCCAUCACCAAUCAUGGUAACAAAGCAAUGUUUUAGAUUCAUUAACCCAUAUAGCUGGAAUUAUAGUGUUAAAAUUAUUAUUAUUAUUAUUAUUAUUAUUAUUAUUAUUAUUAUUAUUAUUAUUAUUGGAAAAUGAAAAUUUUUAUUAAUCCUGAAACAAAAUAGUACAAGAUAAUACCCCAAAACAAGAGAACCACCUCCUUAAUUCGCAUCAGCAUGAGAGAGAAGCACACCAUCUUGGAAGGGUUUCCCUACUCUCACUCUUCAUAUGCAUUAGGAAAGAGUAGGACACUAGAAAAGACAAAAUAAUUAUCUAUACAUCAGAAGCUAUAUAAUCAAAACUCAAAAAGACUCCUAAUCCAAGGGCGUUGGAUAUCAAUGCAACACCUUUGAUUAGUUCGCAAAACUCUAUUCUUGACUAUAAGUUUCACCUGUUGAAAAACCUUAUUAACCAUAGGAACUUUGAAAUUCCUAAAAUCAUCAUUUUGAGCACACCAAAUCUCAUAGGUAAGACUAAAUAAUGCAAUAGUAGUAAUCUUGCUCUUAUAUGUGUCACACUUCCACUUUCUACAUGUAAAAUCGGCAAGAGAAGCAAUUAUCCUUUAAUACUCAACCAUUGUGCACCCUUAUUCAAGCAGAUCUUUAACUUUACAUAUAUUCUUGAAAGUCCAACUUGAUGUUAUUGGAGCAUUGAAAACCCUCCGAUUCUCACCCUUAUUUUAAACACCAUGUACCUAUCUAACCCACAUAGAUUCCCUCAUAGAGGACAUAUGCCAUUUCCCACAGCAGCUAGAUUCCAAGCUUCUAAAUUCUGAAUACCCAAACUACCCAGCUUCUUUGGAGUACAAACCUUAGCCUAAUUCAUUUUACCAGGAGCAUCAAAAUCAGCUUUUCCAUGCCAGAGAUUUGAUUUACAUAUUGCAUUUACCUGUUUAAGCACCUUCUUAGGCAACACAAAAAUUAACUCCGAAAGUUUGUGAUAUUCAUCAAAACAACAGAAGCAACUUGCAUUUGAGCUGCAUAAUAGAGAUUUCUGAAUUGCCACGAUCUAAUCUUAGAUAUAUUUUUAACUGCAAUGUGUUCUCACUUAACUGCAUAAAAACGUUUAGAAGACAAAGGAACACCCAAAUAACAAAAAGGCAUAGAACUCAAAGGAAUGUUCUAUGAAUCCACAACAUACUAUUUCAAAGAAUCAGGGAUACCUACAAGAUUCACAUCAAAUUUUGUACAAUCUGCAACUAAACCAGAGGAAUCCACAAAUAUUUCCAAUUAAGUUAGAAGAAUUCUAACAUAACCUAAAUCAAGAUUCUAAAGUUUAUUUGAUUCUCAUUUCAUGAAAUUUGAGUUAUACAUUAUGACUAAGGAUGAUCAGAAGUGUAUGUAUAAUUUCGGGGACGAAAUUAUUUUAAGUUGGGGAGAAUGAAAUAGGCUACAUUUAAUAAAGCUUAAUUAUAAGUGAUUAAGCUGAUUGGGGUUAUCAAGUAUGUUAAUUCGAGUAACAAUAUUAUUAUUUUGAUAAUAUUGACUCAAGUAUUUCAUUUGUUAAUAUUUUCAAGAAAAAGGUAUAUUUUAUUUAAUGUAUAAAAUUCGUACAAAGAAUACUUCGAUAAAAGUGUAUUUUGAUUAUAUUUUAUUAAUUGAUUACUAUCUUAUCUUUAUAAAAAUAAAUUUAAAUAAAGUAUUGAAAAAUAAAUUCCUAAAUGCAAUCCUUAUUCAUACUACCAAUUACGAGAUAUUACUUAUUUCAUAAAUCGCCUAUUGUACCCUUACAACACGUCUUAUUUAAGACUGUCUUACGAUGAGACGGCUUUAAUAGAAUUUUAUGGGUCAAAGCUAAAAAUAAAAACCCAUUUUACCACAAAUAAACCGACAUACCUCUUCUCCAUAUCUUUCUUUAUCCUCAUCCAUUACCCUUACUCCUUCAUUUUCAAACACAAAAACAAAUCAGCUACCUUACUCCUUUCUCCCUCACUCACGGCUGACCCACGAACACCACCAUCAACCGGCAGCCCGGCCACGAGCUUCACCACCAACAGCAACCACUUCUCCUCCUUCCUUUAUUGUUGUUCAUCAAGAUUGAAAGUUGAAGGGUCCUCUAAUGGUGAUUGAGGGUCUAUCUCUUACAGGGGGUAGAUCCACUUUCAGGUUGCCAUCUUUAGUGCAGAUGGAUGUGCUGCUCAUUUAUGUGUCAUGUGUUGCGAUAGCAAGGACAUCGUUUUCAAAAGGUUAACUUAUAAUGAUAUUUUGACAAAUCAUGUCUUUGUAUAAAAGAAAUAGAUAUUUUAUAAUGUAUUAAUUUAGUUUAUAACUGGGUUGUAAGUAAUUGUAUUACAGUUAUAUAAAGUUUUUAAAUACUCUGAUAUUGGUUGCUGUGGUUGUCGAACCACAGGUCGGAUUCAGCCCAGACUUCUAUAAGUCUUCCGCUGUGCUUUGUAGACAAUAAUAAUUUAUUGUUUACGCUGGUUUGGGCUGUUUCAAUUGGUUUAACAGACCACUAGGCGUGUAAUGUUUUCUACCAUAUUGCUUUAUAAUAUCUUGACCUAAAAAAUUAUUAUGCAUAAUGUUGCGCCCCUCCACAAAAGCACCCUGAGAAGGAUUAAUGAUGUGACCAAGAACUAGUUUGAGUCUGCUGCAAAUUAGUUUAGUAAUACAUUUAUACAAAGUAUGACAACAAGUAAUUGGUCUAUAGUCACCUGGAUUGUUAGGAUUAGGGACUUUGGUAAUGACAUGAACAGUAGUAGUGUUCUAAGCUUGAAGAAGUUUUCCAUUUUUGAGAAAUUGUUAAAUUGCAUCAACUACAUCUAAACCAGUAAUUGAUUUCCUAUUAUAUCCAUCCAUCCCUGGACUCUUUGUAUCAGGAAUACUCCAUACGCAUUCUUGAUUUCCUCCUCUGAAAAAAGAAUAGACAAUUACUCUUGAUGAGAGUAAUCUAGAAGAAGACCUUCUCUGAUGAUAUUCAUGCCAAU